GUUAGCAUUAAAGAAAACCAACCUGGGAGAGGAACUCCAGCCUCCUCCCAGCUCUGCCUCUGUCCCCUGCCCCUUCUGCCAGCUGCUCUGAGACCCUCUCCCUCCCUGGCUCCUCUGCUCUCCCAGCUCCUCCAGCCCUCUCCCUCCUCAUCCUCCCUGCCGUCCCUCUCCCUGUCUGCUUCCAGGACUCUGCUGGCCCCCACGGAGCACUUUGACCUCUGCUCAGCAGCUUUGGACCAGCCCCGCUCCAGCCUCUACUUCCCCUACCAUGGGGCUGCUGAUCGAGGGGUCCCACCUACCCAGAAUGGGUGGCGCGAAGUCUUCCCCAUCGUCAUCCGUGUCAUCCUCCGAGCCACGCGUCUCCCCCAGGCCAUUGGGCAGCUCGGCCAGGUCCCCUCGACUCCCACCGCAGGACUCCCCCUUGUCCAGGGGACCAUCUCCAACCAUCAGGUUGACCUUGAACUUCUGAUCUUUCUGCCUCUACCACAGCCAAUUUCAUGAAGUGCCGGGGAUGAAACCCAGAGUCUGAUGUAUGCUAGGCAAGGACUCAUCAACGGAGCCACACCCCCUAGCCCCAAAAUGCGUCUUUUAAUUUUUCUCAAGUAUAAGUUUUUUCAGCACUACUUAA
Molecule: non-coding RNA, 628 nt
Organism: Myodes glareolus (Bank vole)
Lineage: Eukaryota; Metazoa; Chordata; Mammalia; Rodentia; Cricetidae
Source: RefSeq, a predicted model, not a curated record